Molecule: non-coding RNA, 31 nt
Filed under: Mus musculus (house mouse)
Lineage: Eukaryota; Metazoa; Chordata; Mammalia; Rodentia; Muridae
Source: RNAcentral
UGUCUAGGUCGUAGUCUCUGGUCUUUGGUUC